AGUUUUGCCGUACUGCCGUUCACGAGCCUUCUGGUUAUCAGACAUAUACCGAGUCACCUGGGCACAACUUUUCUCUCAAUGCAACGUUUGAUGAAAUUGAUUUUGGCAAAUAUGAUGGGUUGGUGAUACCGGGAGGAAGGGCUCCAGAAUAUCUUGCCAUGAAUGAAUCUGUGUUAGAUUGUGUCAGGAAAUUUGCAGAUGCUGGAAAGCC
This 211-nucleotide unclassified non-coding RNA is filed under the name Hevea brasiliensis (rubber tree). The record is from RNAcentral. Lineage: Eukaryota; Viridiplantae; Streptophyta; Magnoliopsida; Malpighiales; Euphorbiaceae.